Molecule: Y RNA, 102 nt
Filed under: Prolemur simus (greater bamboo lemur)
Lineage: Eukaryota; Metazoa; Chordata; Mammalia; Primates; Lemuridae
Description: Y RNA (ENSPSMG00000024719.1)
Rfam family: Y RNA
About the family: Y RNAs are components of the Ro ribonucleoprotein particle (Ro RNP), in association with Ro60 and La proteins. The Y RNAs and Ro60 and La proteins are well conserved, but the function of the Ro RNP is not known.
Source: Rfam by way of RNAcentral
GGCUGGUCUGAGUAUGGUGGUAUUCACAACUAAUUGAUCACAACCAGUUUCACAUUCCUUUGUUCCUUCUCCACUCCCACUGCUUCACUUGAUUAGCCUUAA